This 879-nucleotide ribosomal RNA is filed under the name uncultured bacterium. Its description in RNAcentral is "bacterial SSU rRNA". It matches the Rfam family "Bacterial small subunit ribosomal RNA", at positions 95 to 985 of the family's 1533-position model. The record is from RNAcentral.
GUGGCGGACGGGUGAGUAACGCGUAAGAAUCUAACUUCAGGACGGGGACAACAGUUGGAAACGACUGCUAAUACCCGAUAUGCCGCAAGGUGAAACCUAAUUGGCCUGGAGAAGAGCUUGCGUCUGAUUAGCUAGUUGGUGGGGUAAGAGCCUACCAAGGCGACGAUCAGUAGCUGGUCUGAGAGGAUGAGCAGCCACACCGGGACUGAGACACGGCCCAGACUCCUACGGGAGGCAGCAGUGGGGAAUAUUGGACAAUGGGGGCAACCCUGAUCCAGCGACGCCGCGUGUGUGAAGAAGGCCUGCGGGUUGUAAAGCACUUUUAGUGGGGGGGAAAACACCUGUCCUAAUACGGCAGGGAUUGACUUAACCCAAAGAAAAAGCACCGGCUAACUCUGUGCCAGCAGCCGCGGUAAUACAGAGGGUGCAAGCGUUAAUCGGAAUUACUGGGCGUAAAGCGUGCGUAGACGGUUGUCUAAGUCGGAUGUGAAAUCCCCGGGCUCAACCUGGGAAUUGCAUUCGAGACUGAACAGCUAGGGUGCGGAAGAGGGAAGCGGAAUUUCCGGUGUAGCGGUGAAAUGCGUAGAUAUCGGAAGGAACAUCAGUGGCGAAAGCGGCUUCCUGGUCCAGCACCGACGUUCAGGCACGAAAGCGUGGGGAGCAAACAGGAUUAGAUACCCCUGUAGUCCUAGCCGUAAACGAUGGAUACUAGGCGUGGCUUGUAUCGACCCGAGCCGUGCCGAAGCUAACGCGUUAAGUAUCCCGCCUGGGGAGUACGCACGCAAGUGUGAAACUCAAAGGAAUUGACGGGGGCCCGCACAAGCGGUGGAGUAUGUGGUUUAAUUCGAUGCAACGCGAAGAACCUUACCAAGACUUGAC